This 840-nucleotide long non-coding RNA is filed under the name Salmo salar (Atlantic salmon). Its description in RNAcentral is "lncRNA (ENSSSAG00000103154.1)". The record is from RNAcentral. Lineage: Eukaryota; Metazoa; Chordata; Actinopteri; Salmoniformes; Salmonidae.
GUUUGUUCCAGCCCUGCACUAACACACCUGAUUCAGCUAAUCAGAGUCUUCUUGAAGUUAUCUGAAUCAGGUUUGUUAGUGGUGGGCUGGAACUAAACCAUGCACCAUGUAGCUCUCCAGGACCAGGCUGGGUGACUGUUCUGAGGUUUCAGUAGUAUUAUCUAACCAGGCUGGGUGACUGUUCUGAGGUUUCAGUAGUAUUAUCUAACCAGGCUGGGUGACUGUUCUGAGGUUUCAGUAGUAGUAUUAUCCAACCAGGCUGGGUGACUGUUCUGAGGUUCCAGUAGUAUUAUCCAACCAGGCUGGGUGACUGUUCUGAGGUUUCAGUAGUAUUAUCCAACCAGGCUGGGUGACUGUUCUGAGGUUUCAGUGGUAGUAUUAUCCAACCAGGCUGGGUGACUGUUCUGAGGUUUCAGUAGUAGUAUUAUCCAACCAGGCUGGGUGACUGUUCUGAGGUUUCAGUGGUAGUAUUAUCCAACCAGGCUGGGUGACUGUUCUGAGGUUUCAGUAGUAGUAUUAUCCAACCAGGCUGGGUGACUGUUCUGAGGUUUCAGUAGUAGUAUUGGAUGAAGACCACUAGGGGGCAGAGUUGUUCCAGAUCAGUAACCCAACCCCAAGCUCCUGUCAUAUCAUGUUGUAAGAUGUUCUCAUCCUCAACAGCCUCCCUCCUCUCUCCUCUCUCUCGUCACAACCCCUAGCUGAUAUAGAGCUAGACGUCAUCAACUAGAUCAUCCACCGUGUAUAUAGAGCUAGACGUUCCCCAACUAGAUCAUCCACCUAGCUAUAGAGCUAGACGUUCCUCAACUAGAUCAUCCACCUGGAUAUAGAGCUAGACGUUCA